GAGACUCUAGUUAAAUCAUAACUCUUCCUUGUCAAGGAAAAAUUGUGGGUUAAACCCCCACGUGUCUUG
Molecule: transfer RNA, 69 nt
Filed under: Polydactylus plebeius (striped threadfin)
Lineage: Eukaryota; Metazoa; Chordata; Actinopteri; Polynemidae
Description: tRNA-Asp
Rfam family: tRNA
About the family: Transfer RNA (tRNA) molecules are approximately 80 nucleotides in length. Their secondary structure includes four short double-helical elements and three loops (D, anti-codon, and T loops).
Source: RNAcentral